This 2612-nucleotide long non-coding RNA is filed under the name Triticum aestivum (bread wheat). RNAcentral describes it as "long non-coding RNA (TAES_LNC024474)". Lineage: Eukaryota; Viridiplantae; Streptophyta; Magnoliopsida; Poales; Poaceae. The record is from RNAcentral.
AAGAGUUGGCUUACAAUCGCCACUUCACACAAUACAUAAAUAAAUCAUACAUCAUUCAAGAUACACACAUAGGUCCGACUACGGAACCAAAAGAGAAGAAGACAACCCAACUGCUAGAUCCCUGAUCGUCCCAACUGGGCUCCACUACUGAUCAACAAGAAAAUAAACAACACAAUGGACAAGAUCUUCAUCGAGCUCCCACUUGAGCUCGGUAGCGUCAUCUGCACUGGUCUCAUCGGCACCUGCAACUGUUUGGAAGUAUCUGUGAGUCACGAGGACUCAGCAAUCUCACACCCGCGAGAUCAAGACUAUUUAAGCUUGAAGGAAAGGAUGGGGUAAUGAGGUGAAGCUGCAGCAAGCACUAAGCAUAUAUGGUGGCUAACAUACGCAAAUGAGAGCGAGAAGAGAAGCAACGGAACGGUCGUGAACUAGCAAUGAUCAAGAAGUGAUCCUGAACUCCUACUUACGUCAAACAUAACCCAGAAACCGUGUUCACUUCCCGGACUCCGCCGAGAAGAGACCAUCACGGCUACACACGCGGUUGAUGCGUUUUAAUUAAGGUCAAGUGUCAAGUUCUCUACAACCGGAUAUUAACAAAUUCCCAUCUGCCACAUAACCGCGGGCACGGCUUUCGAAAGAUAAUACCCUGCAGGGUUGUCCCAACUUAGCCCAUCAAAAGCUCUCACGGUCAACGAAGGAUAAACCUUCUCCCAGGAAGACCCGAUCAGUCUCGGAAUCCCGGUUUACAAGACAUUUCGACAAUGGUAAAACAAGACCAGCAAAGCCGCCCGAAUGUGCCGACAAAUCCCGAUAGGAGCUGCACAUAUCUCGUUCUCAGGGCACACCGGAUUGUCCAAGCUUCCGGUAGGCCAGCCCAGAGUUGCCCCUGGUGGCCACCGGCGACUGACGGGUUGGACCAACACUCAGAGGAGCACUGGCCCGGGGGUUUAAAAUAAAGAUGACCCUUGAGUCUGCAGAACCCAAGGGAAAAAGGCUUAGGUAGGCAAAUGGUAAAACCAAGGUUGGGCCUUGCUGGAGGAGUUUUAUUCAAAGCGAACUGUCAAGGGGGUCCCAUAAAUCACCCAACCGCGUAAGGAACGCAAAAAUCAAGGAACAUAACACCGGUAUGACGGAAACUAGGGCAGCAAGAGUGGAACAAAACACCAGGCAUAAGGCCGAGCCUUCCACCCUUUACCAAAUAUAUAGAUGCAUUAAUAAUAUAAGAGAUAUUGUGAUAUCCCAACAUAAACAUAAUCCAACAUGGAGCAAUCUUCAACUUCACCUGCAUCUAGCAACGCUAUAAGAGGGGCUGAGCAAAAGCGGUAACAUCGCCAAACAACGGUUUGCUAGGAAGGGUGACAAAGGUUAGAGGUUCAUGGCAAUAUGGGAGGCAUGAAAUAGCAAGUGGUAGGUAGCGCUGCAUAGCAAUAGAGCGAACAGCUAGCAAGCAAAGAUAGAAGUGAUUUCGAGGGUACGGUCAUCUUGCCUGAGAUCCCGCAAGGAAGAAGAACGAGUCCAUGAAGAAGACAAACAGAUGUAGUCGAACGAAUCCUCACAACUCCAGAACGAAACCGAAGCUAUCGAGAGAAGCAACCCGGAAAGAAACAGACAACAUAGUAAACAACCACCACAUACACAUGGCAUGAUGCAAAAAAAACUAUGAUGCAUGUCCGGUUUAAAUAUGCAUGGCAUGGCAAAGUGCAACAAACAACACUACAAAUUAAGUGGAGCUCAAUAUGCAACGAGUUGCAUAUCGACGAAACACCACAUCAAUUAUUUAGUUCUCUCUCGUUUAUGGACCCAACAAUGUUAAAUGUUGUUAACCAUGGCAAGAGGUGAAUCAUAAGGAAACUACCUAUUUUAGGCAAUUUAAAUGAGGCCGGAACAACAAACAAUAAUUCCGGAAAAUCCUCAUGUCCAUAUUUUAGAUUUGGUACUGUUCUGCCAUAAACGCAAUUUUAAUGUUGUUAAACAGAAAAAUAGAGUGCACCAUGUUAAACUAGGCAUUUUUCCAAGCAAGUUACAUAUAUAGUUUAAUUAAAUCCGAGUUACGGUUAAUUAGUUAUGAAUUAAAUCAUUUUAACAUGGCAUUUAAGCAAAUAAACACAAACAGCAUGUUAAACAUUUUAUCAUGGGAUGAAACUGGCAUAUUAUUAAUCUACACAAAAUUCUAAGUAUUUUUCAUAUAUAAAUUAUUUUAAUCCGAUGCAUGGUUUGUGAGAUAUUAAAUGCAUGAACAUGGAGGGUCAAACUGUAAAUAUGCAGUUUCUGGAAAAUUAGACAAAUUUGCAGCAGCGGAAAAAAACACUGCGGGCCUAAUUUGGCUGGCCCACUGGUGCACAGGAGCGGCGCUGGACGCUGCUCACCAUGGGCUGAGGCCCGGUCGAUGGAGGAGGCCCAAGAGGGCGUUGGACCUUGGCGCUGGAGCUGGACCUGGGCCUGAUCUGCAGGCGCGCUGCCCAGGCGUGGUCAAAGGCGAGACGAGGCGAGCGAGCUGCUGCUCGUUACUGAAGAAUAGAGGCAGCAGCAGCAGGUAAAGCAGGGGAGCGGCAGCGCGAUGCAGGGGCUCCGGCGAGGCGGCCUCGGCGGGGACCGGCCGGAACGGGACUGGG